Felis catus (domestic cat) is the source of this 11087-nucleotide RNA transcript. It is a transcript of the gene named solute carrier organic anion transporter family member 3A1, with no coding region annotated. Lineage: Eukaryota; Metazoa; Chordata; Mammalia; Carnivora; Felidae. The record is from RefSeq and is a predicted model, not a curated record. The transcript has 11 exons.
GGCGGCGGCGGCGGCGAGGAGCUGUGCCUUCCACCUCUCCAGCCCCGGCAGGACGGGGGCGGCCGCCGCGGGCCCGGGGCGGGGACAGCACGCAGCCUCGCCGCGCACACCCCCGCCCGGCAGCGGGCCCGACACCCGGGGCGAGCGGGAAAGCGGCGGCGGCGGCGGCGGCGGGGGAAGGAUGCAGGGGAAGAAGCCGGGCGGCUCGUCGGGCGGCGGCCGGAGCGGCGAGCUGCAGGGGGACGAGGCGCAGAGGAACAAGAAGAAGAAAAAGAAGGUGUCCUGCUUCUCCAACAUCAAGAUCUUCCUGGUGUCCGAGUGCGCCCUGAUGCUGGCGCAGGGCACGGUGGGCGCCUACCUGGUGAGCGUCCUGACCACCCUGGAGCGGAGGUUCAACCUGCAGAGCGCCGACGUGGGCGUGAUCGCCAGCAGCUUCGAGAUCGGGAACCUGGCGCUCAUCCUCUUCGUGAGCUACUUCGGGGCGCGUGGGCACCGGCCCCGCCUCAUCGGCUGCGGCGGCAUCGUCAUGGCCCUGGGAGCAUUGCUGUCGGCGCUGCCCGAGUUCCUGACCCACCAGUACAAGUACGAGGCGGGCGAGAUCCGCUGGGGCGCCGAGGGCCGCGACGUCUGCGCCGCCAACGGCUCGGGCGGCGACCAGGGCCCCGACCCGGACCUCAUCUGCCGCAGCCGGACCGCCACCAACAUGAUGUACUUGCUGCUCAUUGGGGCCCAGGUGCUCCUGGGCAUCGGUGCUACCCCCGUGCAGCCCCUGGGCGUCUCCUACAUCGACGACCACGUGCGGAGGAAGGACUCCUCGCUCUACAUAGGAAUCCUGUUCACGAUGCUGGUAUUUGGACCAGCCUGUGGAUUUAUCCUGGGCUCUUUCUGUACCAAAAUCUAUGUGGAUGCAGUCUUCAUCGACACAAGUAACCUGGACAUCACCCCGGAUGACCCCCGCUGGAUCGGAGCCUGGUGGGGCGGCUUUCUGCUCUGUGGUGCCUUACUCUUCUUCUCUUCCCUCUUGAUGUUCGGGUUUCCACAGUCUCUGCCCCCGCACUCAGACCCUGCCAUGGAGAGCGAGCAGGCCAUGCUCCCCGAAAGAGAGUACGAGAGACCCAAGCCCAGCAACGGGGUCCUGAGGCACCCCCUGGAGCCGGACAGCAGCGCCUCCUGCUUUCAGCAGCUGAAAGUGAUCCCGAAGGUCACCAAGCACCUGCUGUCCAACCCCGUGUUCACCUGCAUCAUCCUGGCCGCCUGCAUGGAGAUUGCAGUGGUGGCUGGCUUUGCCGCCUUCUUGGGGAAGUACCUAGAGCAGCAGUUUAACCUUACCACCUCUUCUGCCAACCAGCUGCUCGGGAUGACUGCAAUCCCAUGUGCCUGUCUGGGGAUCUUCUUGGGUGGUCUCCUGGUAAAGAAGCUCAGUCUUUCCGCCCUCGGGGCCAUUCGGAUGGCCAUGCUCGUCAACCUGGUGUCCACAGCUUGCUAUGUUUCCUUCCUCUUCCUGGGCUGUGACACGGGCCCUGUGGCUGGGGUUACUGUUCCCUAUGGAAACACCUCAGCGCCUGGCGUGGCCCUGGACCCCUACUCACCCUGCAAUAAAAAUUGUGAAUGCCAAACCGAUUCCUUCACUCCCGUGUGUGGGGCAGAUGGCAUCACCUACCUGUCUGCCUGCUUCGCUGGCUGCAACAGCACGAAUCUCACCGGCUGUGCGUGCCUCACGACCGUCCCGGCCGAGAACACAACUGUGGUUCCCGGAAAAUGCCCCAGUCCCGGGUGCCAAGAGGCCUUCCUCACCUUCCUGUGUGUGAUGUGUGUCUGCAGUAUGAUCGGGGCAAUGGCGCAGACACCCUCAGUCAUCAUCCUUAUCAGGACAGUCAGCCCUGAACUCAAGUCUUACGCCCUGGGAGUCCUGUUCCUCCUCCUCCGUUUGUUGGGCUUCAUCCCCCCUCCCCUCAUCUUUGGGGCCGGCAUCGACUCCACCUGCCUGUUCUGGAGCACGUUCUGCGGGGAGCAAGGCGCCUGCGUCCUGUACGACAACGUGGCCUACAGAUACCUGUACGUCAGCAUCGCCAUCGUGCUGAAGUCCUCUGCCUUCGUCCUCUACACAACCACGUGGCAGUGCCUGAGGAAAAACUAUAAACGCUACAUCAAAAACCACGAGGGCGGGCUGAGCACCAGUGAGUUCUUUGCCUCUACUCUGACCCUAGACAAUCUGGGGAGGGACCCUGUGCCCGCCAGCCAGACCCAUAGGACAAAAUUUAUCUAUAACCUUGAAGACCAUGAGUGGUGUGAAAACAUGGAAUCUGUUUUAUAGUGACUAAGGAGGCUGAACUCUGUAUUAGUAAUCAAAGGGUCAUUUUUUUCCUAAAAAAAAAAAAAAAUUUUCAAAAAAAAGCCCACAAAACUCAGUACAGAGACACACACACCACACGUACACACACCACCACCUUUGUCCUUUUUCUCAAAAUCAGAGCCAGACAGGAUUCAGAAUAAGGAGAGCACGGGAUCGUGUGUCUGACGUACGACCUGCUGGGGCCCAGAGUCUUCUCUUUGAAGGUUCUUCGGGAUGCCGAUCGCCGCAAGCAACAGGCACGGCCAAGUUCAGGGAACAGUGGUGGCCCAGCUUGGAGGAUGGACAUUUCUGGAUAUACAUACACACACAAACCAUUUUUUUAAAAGUCUACUAAAAAGCCCAAGUUGACAACAUUGCCAGGAUAAACACUAGUGACAUACCCCGUGCCACCCGCCCCCUCCAUGCAAGGGUGGGGGGGUGUGCAAGUCGGAGCGGGAGCCCCCCCCUCCUCUAACUUUUGCAAUAUGGGUCACUGUGUAGACGACUCACCCAGUCUGCAUGUGGUUCAAGGCCCCAGAGUUCUCUCAGCGAUGCUAAUGGGUGAUCCGUGCUGGAGUCUGUAAUUGGCACCUCUCACCAGCUCCAUGUUCAAGACUGAGGGCCCAAGGGGGAGCCGGGCGUGGGGGGGCCAGCACCCCACCUCCCCCCACAGCACCCCCCAGCCCCACAGAGUGACCUCAGGAAGCAGCGGGCCUCACCUGGCUAUGACUGACUUUGCUCAGAGCCGGUGAAACCCAGCACAGUCCAAGUCAUUUGCUUACAUUUGCCAAACGUUUUGCCAUUUAAAAAAAAAAAAUGCAAUGCAUAUGAAUUUCAAACUGUUGUAUGUAUAAUCCUCUAAUACUAUUUUUAACCACUUCUAAAAUCUGUGUUAACUCUUCAAGUCACUGACACAGUUCUCUAGGCUGAGUUUAUUAUGCUGGUUGCUUUUACUUUUCUCCUUUUUUUAAUGCACCAAAAAUAUAAUGUGAUUCAAGGGAUGCAAUUAAUCUAUUGUAAUUUUUGUUUUAUCAUUUGGUCCUCAUUCGGAUAUUCUGCAAAAACAAGGAUAUACAGUGUGUUAGAAGAAGAAGAAGAAGAAGAAAUGCUUGGAGAAAGAGUGUAUAGGCAGCUUGCCUUUAAAAGAAUCACAUUUGAGACAACAGGGGAUAAUGUGAUGAAUUGCAAAUUCGCCUUCUGGCUUUAUUCCCCAUGAUUCAGUGAUCGCUGUCAUGGGAAGCCCUUUUAUAUUCAUGCUUCACAUUUCGAGAGGCCUUCUUUUCAACCCGUGGAGGAGACACACUUAGAUGUUGGUUGUGUGCAGGGGUGCGGUGCUUCUGGGGCUAGGCAAGAGGAAAAGCAGUUCCCUGGCCCCAGCUGUGGGGCGGUCUGUGACGGCGAACAGACCCGCAAGGUCGCGGAAGCUACCGCUUGUCCGAUGCAUUAACAUGUCUCUGUUUUCAGGGUCAGUCUUGAACAAAGAGGCCUUUGUUUCGAAAGUGGCCAAACCUCAAACAGCUAGCAAGCAAACCUCAUUGUUUGGGAUGAGAAUCUUGGGAAAACCUCUCACAGUCAAGCAGCCUCAGCCUCAUAAGGCCACGUCCAUAAGGGGACAGAGCUUAUGCGAGAGCGUGUGCACACGCGCACACACACACACACACACACGGCCCGUUUAACGUACCUUUCGUGUUUCUUCAGUGACCUUUGUCCGGGCCACUUGUGGCCCUGGGGAAGCUCUCAGGGGUGGUUUGGUUGGCUGUUUGCCUUUUCACCUCAGACACAUAUUUGCAGUUCACCCAGAGGAUAACAAAAGAAUCAGGAAAGAAAAGAGUGGAGGCUCUGAAGAGAGGGCUGUUGUGCCACAUUUCUAACAUACACCGUUAAUGGGGCAGUUUGAGUGACAGCCCGAAAGCAGAGAAAGCACCACCCAGCAAGGAGGACCCAGAGAGAAGCUGGUGUCCCGGUGCGGGGCCACCAUGAUCAGCUGCCUGGGACAGGAUGCUUCCAAAACACUCCCACGCGUUUACUUUUAGUCUGUCCUUGUCGGUGAGCACGGGGACAGUCAUCAAUGUGUUAACUAGUAAAAGGAGGGAUUGUUCUCCAAGCGAUUCAUAAAAUAUGUAUGCUCUGUCACUCCAAAGGUUUUGAAACCUUCCUGUACAGGUUUGGGGGUAGUGUUGCUCUGAAAUGUAUUGCUAACAGGGCACUGCCGUCUGCAUAGCUCUCCAAAACUCAGUACGCACACAGCGAGGCCCGAUGACCUGUUUUCACAGGGCCAUUUGCUUAAAAAAAGCUUUUUGAAAACGCUUUGCAUUUUUGGAUUUUUUUUUUUCCCCCUAAGAUUUUAGGAUGAAUGAGAUGUUAGGAUGAAAAAGGAAAACACUGCCAGGGCUCAAUUUUGUCAACAAGUAGGUAUGAACCGAAAGCCGUCUAUUGCGAGAUGGCUCUAAAGUGCGUUGUGUUACCUUUUAGGGUUUUAAUUUCUCUCCUACUACAGAACAGAAAACGUAGUCUGGUUUUAGUGUUUCCUUUUGUGCUGCAAAGAAUCAUUGUACAUACAGUGUUAGAUCGAGCUCCUCGGUUAUUUGUUUGGUUUUGAGUGAAUGAAAAGAUUCCCUGCUAAGAGCCCCGCUGGACUAACAGAAAACAAAAACUUAAGGGAAAGAAUAAACCUAGAAGGUUAAUGCUAAGCUUCUCUCUCUCCUGCUACAAACUCCUCCGCCAUCUUGGUCGAACGUGCCCAGAGAUGGAUGAAAAAGCCUCUCUUUGCUGCGACUUUUGACAGACUUGUGUAACUCCUACGUAUAUAGGCUAAGUUUUUUGACCAAUAUCAUGCCUGCGUGUGAAGCGAACACCCUUUGUAAGAGUGGGUUUCCCUCUGGGGGAUGGGGUUUCGGUGUGUGCUGACAGGAAGACCAGCGGCCUGGCCCCCUCCACGCCUCCGCCGAGGAAGGCUGUGAAGCGCCAAGGCACCCUGGGGAUGCUGCCACUCCAGAAGGCCACAGCAUGUGGGCUUUCCUCACAGCUAAUGAAGGAGCAAGAGAGGCUUCCACUCACGGUCCCCCCUAAGGAGUUUGCUAGUAGCGCUUAGCAGGCAGAUUAAUAAGGGGAAGCCAAGAGCUUCUAAGGAAUCCUUUGACAGACUUGUUAAUGUCUUCCAAGUAGGAAGGAGUGUGCUGCUCCAUAAAAGUCACUCUUUUCUCACCACUUUACAGUAGAAUAGCUUCCUCUAGUGAUGAGUUUUAAAGUUAGGCCUGUACAUUGUAAAGUGGUGUCUAUCCAUUUAAAUCCCUGAUUCCACUUCCCUGUCUCCAGUCGUGACCUAGAACUUCCCCUCAGGCAUGGCAAGAUUUUCCCAUCCCUUCCCCUUGGAAAGCUGCCACUCCAGAAGGCCACAGCCCGCAGGCUGUCCCCACAGCUAAUGAAGGAGCCCGAGAGGCCCUCUGAGGUGACCCGCAGAAACGUUGCAUACGGGGGCAACCAGCCAGUCCCCAGGAUGAUCCCUAGUCCACUCCCGAGGAACCUUCUCAGUAAGAGGAUUCAGCCAUGGUUGCUAACCAUCAUCACCCCCACCACAACCACCACCACCAUGACCAGCCUUCUGGAGCAGGCCAUUCAUUGGGGAGCAUAUAAAAUGGGGGGAGAAGUAAAAUACACACGCACACUCACUGAGAAACCCUCUGAGGAAAAGUCAUUGUUGGCUUCGAUGAACCUGCAAGCUGGUCUCCUCGCUGUAUGCUGUUCAGGUCCUUCUAAGUGUGAUGUCUUCUCCACCCAGUCAGGCCUACCGGACCUGAACCAUAAGCACUCCUCAGCAGCGUUCAGCAAUACAGGUCAAUGUGUAGAAAUCAGCAGGCUGAUCAGAGGGAGAAGGACAGGAUAAACUUGUACCAUUUGGUGACAUUCCGCUCGAGUGUUGUUUGUGUAUUCGGUUGGGUUUGUUUUGAAUGAAGGGAGAAAGCCACACAAGCUGUUUUUCAGACCAGCAGAGAAUAUGUGCUGUCUUGUGGUGUUCUUAUCUGACCAUUGUGAUCGCUCAGAAAAUUCCAGACAUGCAGUAGGGGCUUGAUUGCUGAGCCCUCUCCUCAGCCUGCUCUCAACCAUGAUGUGUUGUUUCCCUGUAGGUUAGAAUCCAGGGCGAAUACUUAAGAGGUGCCACGUUGUCCAAGAGAAGGUGCUGGUGAAAUGAAGUCCAGCCUGGAAAGUUAGUUUGGAACAUAAACAUAGUCCUUACCCUCCGAGCUUUCUCUUGUUCGUUGUCCCAUCACUGCUCAGUCCAAGUUCUUGAGUUCUGAAGGUACAAGGACCUAACCUCUUUGAACAGCUGUCCCUGAUGAUAGCCUUCAGACCCAGCCCCCAUGGGGGAUUAUGGUUGCUCAUGAAUAAUUCGGCAAGACAGAAGGAUCUCUAACUGGUAGAAUGUGCAACAAGAUAUUCUUGUUCAGAUGUGUCUCGGGGGCCUGUUGCCCCGGGUUACACGUGGAAUCUACACUAUCUGCACACACAGCCACCCACCCACACCUCCCGUUUCUCACGUUUGUAGGUGACCUCAGAGUGCUUGGUCAUCGUGGCAGGAAGGGGUUACAAAGACUAAAAUGGCAAAUUCAGAAAAGCAAAGAUUGUCCUGUACCUCAGCCAGCCGCGACUGCUCUGGAGACAGACAGAACUACCUCUCAGAGACCAUCCACAUGGUAGCUCAGUUUUCCUUUGCACAGUUGUCGCCAUUAGGGGAUGUAUUGCAUGAACUUGAUAUCUUCUAAAGAUGUAUUCCUUCAUUCCUUUAUUAAGAUUUUGACAAUAUGCCAGGCCAUGGGCCAGAUAUGAAGACGAAAAGACAUGGUUCCAUCCUCCAAGAGCUCACAGUUCAGUGAGCCAGACAGACCUGAACAUAAAAGCAAUAGAAUGAUUAUGUGAAGAGCCCAGCUCUGACUGGGCCCAAGGAGGGCUGAGAAAUGGUGGUGGUAAGUUUGGCUUCCUGGCAUCGAGAAUCAGGAAGGUUUGAGAGAUAGAGGCAUGGUCCAGAACCAAGAACUAAAGAGCAGUGGGUGGCUGCCAGAGAGCUGGGGGAGAAGGUCGCCUCUACAGAGAGGGCCACCAGAACAAGUUGACAAACUUUCUGUAAAGGGCCAGGUGACAAGCAUUUUAGGUUUUGAGGGCAUAUGGUUCAGACCACUGAACUCUGUUACAGCAUGAAAGCCGCUCAAGUGUAAACAACUGUGUAGGCUGUGUUCCAAUAAAGCUUUAUUUACAAAGACAGGCAGUGGCCAAGGGCAGUCAUAUGCAGAGGUCUGAAGUCACACAGCAGGGUUGGGGGGUAGGGGACUCUAACAGCCAAGGCUGCCGUGGCAUAUGCCAAGUUAUGUGUUGGAAGGGUCCUGUAGCCAGGUGCCCAUCAGCCCUGAUGUUACCACAGGAAUUCAUGCAGGUAGCCCAUUUUCCAGGAAUGAGGUGAGUACCCCAUCACUGUCAGGAUUUGCAAAUGAAGGCAACAUCAUCUUGCUCUCUGUGGACUGGAAUUGGAACUACAGGAUCUGAUCUACAUAGUUCGACCACAAUAAUUGUCCUUUUUUUCUUAAGCGAUAAAAUAGGGAUGGGAGGAAGAAAUGUAGGAAUGGGUGAAAAAAGUAAAUCCAAAUAGUAUUUCGAAUCCCUGUCCACCAACACAAAACACUGGCACCAUGGAGCUAAUAGAUACACCAGGUGGAAUAAUUGGUAAGCACUAAUAAUAACUAAUAAUAGCUAACAUUUACCAAGCACUUACCGUGAACCAGCUUAUUACACGUAAUAGCUCACUUAAUCUCAGCAAGAACCCUGUGAGGCAGGAACUGUUUCUAACAUCAGUUUACAGGAGCAGGAAACGAGGUAGGGAAGGCUUCCAGGAUUGGCUCAAGGCCACAAAGCAGAGCUAAGAUUCGAACCCAGGUCUGUGAAUCCAAAGCCCGUGAUCUUUGGCUUUACGGGCAUCCCCUGCAUAUACUGGGCAAGAUGUGAGCCCACACCCCACACCCCGCUCCCGUAGGGACUGCCUCAGCAGGAAGACUCUGGCUUAGGAAGACUGUGGGUUCUACACACUCUCACGUGCCCCCUCAUGUAACAACCAGCAUACCAUGACAGGUGUCUUCCAAGGACUUCCGUCCUUCCUGUGUUCCUGGUCUUGACCACAGAGCCCAGUGAUCAAUUUCUAUGGGGUGGUAUACGAGAAGCAGGUAAGAGGAAACAGGAGAUUCCUUUGCUCUGAUGCAUUCUGAGAUGCCAGGGAGGCAUUCCUCAGUGCUGGUCAUCGGCUGCAAUGGGGAGACUCCAGACACCCCUCCGCCAUGGUGCGUAACAUCUACCUCGGGAGUUUGGCUCUGCCCCAGGGCCCUCAGACACACCAACACUGGUCACUGGUUGAAUAGGUCUUGCUCUGUUAUCAGAUAUUAAGCUUUUAGGAAGAGAGUUUCUAGACAUUUCUAUUUUUGCAUUAAUGACUCAGGCCAGCAAUCAGUGGUUGGUGAUUAGCAUAAAUUCUGAAUAUUUUUCCAUAAGGCAAAGAGAUUGUCUCCUUCUGCUACGAGCAAAUGGAAUAGUAAAUUUUCUGGAGGUUUAACAUUCCUGUAGGUUGAGAUCUUGCCAUCCCAUUAAGUCCCCCAAAAUAAUGUUUUUUUCUUAAAUUCAUGCUAACUUAAUAGAAGAGAGCUCUCGUGGUGAUAUGUUUGUGAGACUUUGGCUUUAUAAUCUAAGGCCAUAAGAUGAAUCAGAAAUGUGCAAUGUAGGAAGUUGCACUACAAAAGGAACCCAGCUAACAUAUAGAUUGGCCCAGCACCUUAAAGGAAGAAGGGGCUGGAGAGCUCACAUUUAAGAGCCUGCUACCCACAUGCCACAUGCCAGAAGGCAUGGUCCCAGGUAAUGCACCCAGCAGCUUUACACCCGGUAAAGGUAAGUAUCAUUUUUUCCACUUUUACAGGUCAGGAAACUAAGGUUCCGUAAACCCAAGCCUCUUAAAGUCACACAGGGAGUUAGAAAAGCCACCAGGAGCCAGCGCCAGGUCUGACUCCAGAACCUGUGCUCUUUCCACUAUACCACCAUGUAGCCACCAAAGUGAAUAUACAGACCUGCUUCUUAGAAAGCUUCAACAAGGCCAGCAGGACAUCUCUGGGGUAGGAAAUCCCACAGAAAUCUAGACUUCAUAGAGAAAAUGAGCCAAGAGCUGGAGGUGAGAACCUCUGCAAAAUUUUGCCGAUGGGCACGGGGAUCUAAAAUGAAAAGGAAAAAAAAAAACCUAUUUUGCUUUAGUAAUUAAACAUUAGAGAUCUUUAAACACACCCCUCCUUCCUUCUUCUACCUUAGCCACAUCGGGGGAAGUGUCCCUGCCACUCACCAUCCUCUACCUUAUUUGUUCUGGGCACAAGAACCCAGCUCUCUCACUUUUAUACCACCCUCCCCAGCUUCCUGGCCCCCAGGCUUCCAGCAAAACCCCAAGGCCACUUGACCCUCUCAAACACUGAGGAAUCAUGCUCCCAACCGCCCCCGAACACAUGAGCUGCCUUCCAUAAGCCAGCUCUCAGCUGCAAAACCCUGAGGACAAGAGUGACAUUUCCACGCUGUCACCUUUUUGUAACACCGGGUCGGAGUCUUAAAGAGGACAAGUAAAUGAGCAGGGAUUUGUAUGGUCCCACUGUGCUUAUCAUUGAACAGCAAAGGUGUGUGCUCUGCUCAAUGGGACCUGCCCAGCUUAUAAAUCAUCGCAGGGACUAGCUGGGUCUUUAAUGCCUUUUAAGUGAAGCCACAGCAUCUAUUUUGGAAGUGUGGCAUAGGCUUAAAAACUCUGCUCCAGUGAGGAGACUGUGUGACUCAGCGUGCGGUGAAUCCUGUGGCUGAAAAGAAAACAGAACGUCCGGGAUGCUGGAGGACAAAGCAUGACAUUAUGACGCUAGAGGUAUUCUCUGGCGCUCAGCCACAUCUUCAGCAGAAGAUUGCGGCGACAUUUGGAGUCCCAGAACACAAGGCUUGUCACUGGUGAUUUAUAGGAGAUGAGGACAAGUUAAUGACUGGGAUACAUCUUAUUCGUUCCCAUAGAAGAAACAGCCAGCACAGAGUACCAAGACAUUGAGACUGAGAAAACCUGCCCUGAGUCACAUUCACCUUCAGAAGACUCCUUUGUGAGAAGCUGAGGGCCUGGCCCUCCUCCUCCUCCUCCUCCAGAGAACAGCCCGCCAUUAUCCACAGACCUCGCAGGCCUGACUUAGCGUGCUCUGCCCUGCCCGAGAACCCAAGGGUCCCUGUGUGGAUUAUCUGGCCAGAAUGUGGUCCUUUAAGGCCCCAAGCAUAGGCCUGUGAUGAGGACUAAGGAGGUGGCUGUGGUCAGGAGUCCUCUAAACCCUUGGGGUAGGGCAUUUUUCCCAGGUCGCCAAAGAGUAAUGUUGACUAAGUGUGCAAAUUCCCUUUGGCCCAUCCCUCCCUUGGCUCCUGUGGGGACAUCCUGCUGACACGCUUUAGAACCCCCUCCCCCCCUUCUUCAGGCUGCUUCUCUGACGGAGGGCUCCAGCAGCUCUUCCGAAAAACCAGCCAAGGCUGGAUUGCAAUGAGGGGGUGGCAAAAAUGACCCUGUUUCACAGAAGGGAGGGGAAAAAAAGCACAUACUCAAUAGAUUUUGAGUGUGGUAUUCUGUAUUUUUGCAGCUUAUAUUUUCCAGAUGAGCAGUUUAGAAUACGUGAUGUAAAGUACACACUGUACAUUUGCUGAAAAUUAUAUUAAAAGCACUAUUUUAAUUCUU